GGGGGCAAUGUGGCUCAGUGGUAGAGCAUCUGCUCAGAAUGCAAAAAGUCCCAGAUUCAAUGGCCAGCACCUCCA
Molecule: transfer RNA, 75 nt
Filed under: Sphaerodactylus townsendi
Lineage: Eukaryota; Metazoa; Chordata; Lepidosauria; Squamata; Sphaerodactylidae
Description: tRNA-Ser
Source: RNAcentral